GUUCAGCUGAAUCAAGAGUUGGAUGUUUGACUAACCCUCUUAAAUAUAUUUCUAAGAAAAUAUGAUAAAGCAAAUCUAUUUCACAAUAUAAUUCAAGGCUGAGAAAAUAUGGAUAAGUUUUUAAGCUGGUGGUAAAGAGUAAAGAUGUUUAAAAUUCUAAUUGAGGGAAUGGAAGCUUAGUGUAUAUAAGAAUCUAUUUUGAAUUUUUGAUGGAGGUGACAAAUGGCUUGUUGCCUAACCUAGAAAAAUGAAUGCACCUGAAGUAUUGCAAAAAACACAUUUUGGGGGGCAAAAAACGCAUUUUCAGAUUCUAAUCUAAGUAUCAAUGCUAUUUUCACAUAAGAAACACAGGUGAUAAACUUCUGGCCCUUCGUCCUAUGCAGCUAAAGUUUUGCUGGCUUGCUAAAUGUUUAAAAAGAAUUUGAACCAAUGUUUUAAAAUGGGAAGGUUUCACAUAAAGUCCAAAUUUGCUCCUCUUGACAGAUCUGGCAAUACUGGGCCCAUAUUCUUGCAUGGCAAAAUCUGGCUAGAGCUGGGAAGUAAUGUCCCAUUUAGAUGAACAUGGGAAGUUGUGUAGUCCCCUUUACUGCCUAUUGCUCCUUUUCCCUACUAUUCCCACUGCUAAAGACCCUUGACUUCACGACUUAAGUAGAAUACAGAACCACUAUAACACACCAAAUGCCAAAUGCUCUAUUUUAUCAUUAAUAGGUAUUAAGAAACAAAAAUACAAUCUUUGAGAACUAAGGGAGGUACCAGAAGCAAUCUGUUUAUGUAAAGAACAACAAAGGAUAUUUUUUGAAAUCACGUUGGAAAGACUUCAGAGGGGAAAUCUAAGAAAAGGUUGAGUAACAAGAACUACACUGAAUUUAAUCAACUGAAGCUGGCAAUGUCUCUGGCACCUGGGAAAUACCAAAUAUAUUCAGUUUUUUAGGAAGUAUUUACCAAAAUAAUAUCAAGAGCAGAAUAACACGAUAGGGAGAAUAGAUCCAUCUAAUAGGCAAACCAUUCUAUUUAGAUGUAAACAUAGUAAAGCUAAAAACAUAAGCAGCUGUUAUAUAAAAUAGUGGUUGUCAUAAAAGAAGUACAAAAAGUGCUAGGUAAGCACAGAGGAAAUUACUUCCUGUUGGAGAGAAUCUGGAAACACAUCUCCAAGGAUAACUAGGACAUGGAAACAAGAGUCAUGAAAGGUUAGUGCUUCAAUGAUUAAUCUUGGAAGAAACAAGAAUAGUUCAUUUUGGCUACAGCAUGAGUAGUAUGGAAGUAGAAAGAAAUUAAGUAAAGAAGUUAGGUUUGCACCCUUGUUGACUGGCUGGGUAAAUACAAUUUUCAAUUUA
This is a long non-coding RNA of Neogale vison (American mink), 1334 nucleotides long. RefSeq lists it as uncharacterized. The record is from RefSeq and is a predicted model, not a curated record. The transcript is spliced from 2 exons. NCBI's taxonomy places the organism in Eukaryota, Metazoa, Chordata, Mammalia, Carnivora, Mustelidae.